This 351-nucleotide unclassified non-coding RNA is filed under the name Hevea brasiliensis (rubber tree). Lineage: Eukaryota; Viridiplantae; Streptophyta; Magnoliopsida; Malpighiales; Euphorbiaceae. The record is from RNAcentral.
CUCAGAUUCAGAAUCAGCACCCAAAGAACGGAAAGAUGUGCUCCUGUUCGCUUCCAUCCCAGGAAUCUCUAUUCCAUCAAAAACAGGAUCUGACUCUUCCUUGGCAAGAUUGUCCCCCAUAGUUAGCUCUGUUCCUUCUUCAGGUUUAGACUCUAAAUUCUUACCCUGACCCAGGUCAAACUGUUGAAUAUCAUCAUUUAACUUUCCUCCUUGAUUUUUAGACUCCAUAUCUCUACUCCCAUCCAUCUUGCUCAAGUCACCAUGUCCAAUACCAUCCCCUAUCUUAUCUCCUUGACAUUUGCAUUCCAAUACACUAUUAUUGUCAAUAUUUUCACCAGUGUCAUCCUUCCC